AUUGAACGCUGGCGGCAGGCUUAACACAUGCAAGUCGAGCGGGGUGAUGGUGCUUGCACUAUCACUUAGCGGCGGACGGGUGAGUAAUGCUUAGGAAUCUGCCUAUUAGUGGGGGACAACAUCUCGAAAGGGAUGCUAAUACCGCAUACGUCCUACGGGAGAAAGCAGGGGAUCACUUGUGACCUUGCGCUAAUAGAUGAGCCUAAGUCGGAUUAUCUAGUUGGUGGGGUAAAGGCCUAUCAAGGCGACGAUCUGUAGCGGGUCUGAGAGGAUGAUCCGCCACACUGGGACUGAGACACGGCCCAGACUCCUACGGGAGGCAGCAGUGGGGAAUAUUGGACAAUGGGGGGAACCCUGAUCCAGCCAUGCCGCGUGUGUGAAGAAGGCCUUAUGGUUGUAAAGCACUUUAAGCGAGGAGGAGGCUCUUUUGGUUAAUACCCAAGAUGAGUGGACGUUACUCGCAGAAUAAGCACCGGCUAACUCUGUGCCAGCAGCCGCCGUAA
This 503-nucleotide ribosomal RNA is filed under the name uncultured bacterium. Its description in RNAcentral is "partial 16S ribosomal RNA". It matches the Rfam family "Bacterial small subunit ribosomal RNA", at positions 30 to 523 of the family's 1533-position model. The record is from RNAcentral.